AGCAGUGGGGAAUUUUGGACAAUGGGCGCAAGCCUGAUCCAGCAAUGCCGCGUGAGUGAAGAAGGCCUUCGGGUUGUAAAGCUCUUUUGUCAGGGAAGAAACGGUGAGGGCUAAUAUCCCUUGCUAAUGACGGUACCUGAAGAAUAAGCACCGGCUAACUACGUGCCAGCAGCCGCGGUAAUACGUAGGGUGCAAGCGUUAAUCGGAAUUACUGGGCGUAAAGCGUGCGCAGGCGGUUUUGUAAGUUUGUCGUGAAAGCCCCGGGCUCAACCUGGGAAUUGCGAUAAAGACUGCAAGGCUUGAAUCUGGCAGAGGGGGGUAGAAUUCCACGUGCAGCAGUGAAAUGCGUAGAGAUGUGGAGGAACACCGAUGGCGAAGCAGCCCCCUGGGUCAAGAUUGACGCUCAUG
RNAcentral lists this ribosomal RNA (408 nucleotides) under uncultured bacterium. RNAcentral's name for it is "bacterial SSU rRNA". It matches the Rfam family "Bacterial small subunit ribosomal RNA", at positions 350 to 751 of the family's 1533-position model. The record is from RNAcentral.